CACACUAUCAUUAACUGAAUCCAUAGGUUAAUGAGGCGAACCGGGGGAACUGAAACAUCUAAGUACCCCGAGGAAAAGAAAUCAACCGAGAUUCCCCCAGUAGCGGCGAGCGAACGGGGAGCAGCCCAGAGCCUGAAUCAGUGUGUGUGUUAGUGGAAGCGUCUGGAAAGGCGCGCGAUACAGGGUGACAGCCCCGUACACAAAAAUGCACAUGCUGUGAGCUCGAUGAGUAGGGCGGGACACGUGGUAUCCUGUCUGAAUAUGGGGGGACCAUCCUCCAAGGCUAAAUACUCCUGACUGACCGAUAGUGAACCAGUACCGUGAGGGAAAGGCGAAAAGAACCCCGGCGAGGGGAGUGAAAAAGAACCUGAAACCGUGUACGUACAAGCAGUGGGAGCACAGAGCAAUCUGUGUGACUGCGUACCUUUUGUAUAAUGGGUCAGCGACUUAUAUUCUGUAGCAAGGUUAACCGAAUAGGGGAGCCGAAGGGAAACCGAGUCUUAACUGGGCGUUAAGUUGCAGGGUAUAGACCCGAAACCCGGUGAUCUAGCCAUGGGCAGGUUGAAGGUUGGGUAACACUAACUGGAGGACCGAACCGACUAAUGUUGAAAAAUUAGCGGAUGACUUGUGGCUGGGGGUGAAAGGCCAAUCAAACCGGGAGAUAGCUGGUUCUCCCCGAAAGCUAUUUAGGUAGCGCCUCGUGAAUUCAUCUCCGGGGGUAGAGCACUGUUUCGGCAAGGGGGUCAUCCCGACUUACCAACCCGAUGCAAACUGCGAAUACCGGAGAAUGUUAUCACGGGAGACACACGGCGGGUGCUAACGUCCGUCGUGAAGAGGGAAACAACCCAGACCGCCAGCUAAGGUCCCAAAGUCAUGGUUAAGUGGGAAACGAUGUGGGAAGGCCCAGACAGCCAGGAUGUUGGCUUAGAAGCAGCCAUCAUUUAAAGAAAGCGUAAUAGCUCACUGGUCGAGUCGGCCUGCGCGGAAGAUGUAACGGGGCUAAACCAUGCACCGAAGCUGCGGCAGCGACGCUUAUGCGUUGUUGGGUAGGGGAGCGUUCUGUAAGCCUGCGAAGGUGUGCUGUGAGGCAUGCUGGAGGUAUCAGAAGUGCGAAUGCUGACAUAAGUAACGAUAAAGCGGGUGAAAAGCCCGCUCGCCGGAAGACCAAGGGUUCCUGUCCAACGUUAAUCGGGGCAGGGUGAGUCGACCCCUAAGGCGAGGCCGAAAGGCGUAGUCGAUGGGAAACAGGUUAAUAUUCCUGUACUUGGUGUUACUGCGAAGGGGGGACGGAGAAGGCUAUGUUGGCCGGGCGACGGUUGUCCCGGUUUAAGCGUGUAGGCUGGUUUUCCAG
This 1351-nucleotide ribosomal RNA is filed under the name Escherichia coli. RNAcentral describes it as "partial 23S ribosomal RNA". It matches the Rfam family "Bacterial large subunit ribosomal RNA", at positions 144 to 1536 of the family's 2925-position model. Lineage: Bacteria; Pseudomonadati; Pseudomonadota; Gammaproteobacteria; Enterobacterales; Enterobacteriaceae. The record is from RNAcentral.